GCAUUGUACAUUGUACAGAUGCUGAACAAAUUUGUUGCAGGACUAAAAAGCUAAAUGUUUUGUGCAAUAGGUAACUUAAAAUUUUUCCGUCAGGUUCUUCUUCCAUGUGAUGACAUCAUGUCUGCAAUGAGACCUCUAAGAAAGAAUUUCAAGAACUUUAGGCGAUAAGUGGGACAGAUCUGUUUCUAAAACGGGAUGAAGAAAAAGGUACAAGAGUAGUCCCGCAAACAAUCCUCCACAGCUGGACAGAGUGAUGCCGAGAAUAAUCAGGAAUUCUGGGUUUGAUGGAGCUACAGAAGAUGGCAGUUUUGGAAGGCUUGUACAUGUAAAUGACUCCACACACCCCAAUUGCAAAGUGCAGUGCUUUGAGGAGGAGGGUCUACCAAGCUUGUAUUUUGUUGCCCUCCGUGACAUUCUGCCACUGGACAGACGCUACAGGUGACUGUGCCAGUGUCAUCUCUCGUGCAGAGAUGAAGUUGUGUAUAAUUAUGGUGCAGGACCAUAUCCAUGGAGGAAAAAGUUCGAAAACCUGUGACGUUAUAGUAUCCAAGCCAGGUGUGAGACCAGUCCAUUGCCAACUUGAAGUUUAAACAACGGAAAGGACAAGUUUGCUUUAUACACUGAUGUUGGAGCUUGGGGAAAGCCACUUGACUACAUUACCCAGCUCAGGCAGUCUGCAAUACUCAAAGAAUUCUUGAUGACUGCAGUGUCCACGACUAAGAUGUUGAACCAGAUGGCCUACAUCCAGAACUGACGCAUGGAGUUCAAAACUACAUGGAUCAAGGCAGCUACGUUCGAUUCGGCGUAAAGUCGCCAUGGUUAGCCCAGACAGCCUUCCGGCACUUUGUCAGAGGACAGAUCUUCUGAGAUGUGAUUGAGAGUCAUGAGGUAGCUGCUGUGCAAAUAAUUGGCUCGGAUCUGACAAGCCGCAAAAAGUUUGCCUUUUAAAGAGUGUGGCAUAUCAUUCCAACAAGAUGUGCAUUGCCCCAUCACCUUUGUCCAGCCACCUGGCUUGACUUGUAACAGAUAUCAGGAUUCCCUGCGGAGUAGUUGUGUGCUAACUUCUCGCGUUCCACCACCAAUGAUGGCUUCCCCAAGGCUACAACUACAUACAGAAGAUGAUAGUCAACAUUCAGCUUGUGAUGUAAGAAACGGGCAUUCAGCCGGCGAAUAUAAACAAGCACACCUUAACUGCUUGUUUUCAUGUGCAGUGCUCAUGGAAAGUGCAGGGAGAGGAUCUUGCUGGAACACGUGCUCACCCUUAAGUUGGCUCGAUUGGUAGCGCCCAAGUCACUGCCAGGGCCCAUGAAUAGGCCAGACGCCCUGGAGAUGUGAACCACUGACACAUGAUCAGUUCCCCAUCUAGAGCAGCACUAAAGGCGACCUCCUUAAAGCCUACUUUCUGGAAUACAUCUGUGUGCAGAGCUUGUACAUCAAGUUGAAGACUUACAAUUCAUCUCAUUGACAGUGAUACAACAUUUAAACAAAACCGUAUUAUGACUGAAAAAUCUAAACAAAAACAAAAUUUGUUGUUGUCUUAUACCAGUGUCAUGGCACACUGGUCGCUUUACUAUAUGCUGCAAUAAAUUGCUUCUUUUCAAGGAUGAGGCUUUGUUGACUGCUUUAAUAAAUACAUAAUGUAAAAUUACCUGCUCAACUAUGAAAUUAUGUGAAUCAAAUAUUGUGUACAACUACUGCUGGCCGCAUUAAAAAAACACAAUAAAGCUUCAUUACUUAAUGUGUCCGCAAAAAUUUAUUCCCGAUUCUGAUCAGUGACUCCUUUGUGUAGCUUAUGUUUAACGACUGUUCAGUUUAGUUGCUUUUUUGAAUAAGUUAGUUAUUUAUCAAACACAGUGUACUUUUCUAAUCAUUUUGCUCUAUGUUGUAUAAAGUUACUGUUCAAAAUGAAUCAGAUAUCUUAGAUGAGCAUUGUCUAAUCUUUUUUAAUUAAAAUCACUUGUCAUAAAUAUAACUUCCUGGGCUAGUUUUCAAAAUUGCAUAUGUAUUGCGCAAAAUGUUUGUUCAUUCGAAUUCAAGUGUUU
Dreissena polymorpha is the source of this 2042-nucleotide long non-coding RNA. RefSeq lists it as uncharacterized. NCBI's taxonomy places the organism in Eukaryota, Metazoa, Mollusca, Bivalvia, Myida, Dreissenidae. The record is from RefSeq and is a predicted model, not a curated record. The transcript is spliced from 9 exons.